Molecule: non-coding RNA, 5782 nt
Organism: Oryctolagus cuniculus (rabbit)
Lineage: Eukaryota; Metazoa; Chordata; Mammalia; Lagomorpha; Leporidae
Source: RefSeq, a predicted model, not a curated record
AUGACCAAGAGGGAAAAAACCAACUCCGCCCAAAUAAAAUGGGGCCCCGAAGAAGCGUGCGGUGCGCCCAGGGCUCUCUUCGGCCCGCACUCCCGAAGCCAGGGGGCCACGCCGCCCCCGCCACCUGCCAGACGAGGCCGCGGUCAGGGGCCCACGCUCCGCAGCAGGGAAGAGCCGGCCAGGUCCCCGGCCCCGCCGCGUCCGCCCCGGCCCCGCCGCGGGGGCAGGAACCCGGGGCCGGAGGUUUCCGCCCGGCGCGGCCAAGCCCGCCAGGGGCCUAGCCCGGGGGCCGCAGAGGCUCCCGAGGACCCGUCCCCGUCGUCCGGGGCGCACAGCUGCCUCAGCCCGGCCCUCAGAGCCUCUGGGCGGCGGGCGCGGCGCGGCAGCAGCACCCGCACCUGCCCCGCGCCCUGCGGCAGCCCCGGCGAGCCGAGCGGCUCUCACCCACCUGGCGCCGCGCCUCCCGCACGUCACGGCGCGACCCCGCGCUCCUCGGCACCCGCAGCGCGCGCGCGCGGACGGGUGCGGGAGACCCUGCUCGGCCGCCGCCGCCGCCGCGUCGGUCGUCAGGCGGCCGCCGGCGAACCUGUUGCGCAGCCUGUCAAGGGCGCUCGCCUCUGCCGGCGCCGCCUCAGCCCCACAACAACAUGGCGGCCGCGGCCUCCGCAGGAAGCCGGGGGGCGGGGAGGCAGGCGACGGGCCGGGCAGCUGACGGCCCGCCCGCCGGGCACCUACUCCCACCCUCGGGAGCCCGAAGCUGCCCGGGCGCGGCCGCUCACCCCGGGAUCCCCGGGACCCCGGACCCCGUGGGCUUACUCCGAAGCGCUCCUCUCGGCCCUCGGGGAGGCCGACGCUCCGGACCCGGCAGGCAGUCUUGGAGCUGCGACGACCCACCUGACUCCUCCCAGAGAGGCAGAGGGCAAGAGACAGACAAAGAGAGAGUUUCUGUCUACUUGUGCUCUCCUCAAAUGCCUGCAACAGCCAGAAGGCCAAAGCUGGGAGCCGGGAACUCAAGCCAGGGCUUUCACAAAUUCCUUGCAACUGCUUGUUGGGGUCUGCAUCAGCUGGGAGCUGCAGUCAGGAGUGGAGCAGCGAGUCAAACCCAGGUACUCGGAUGUGGAAUCUGGGCAUCUACUCAGCAUCUUAACCACUAGUCCAGAUGCCUGCACCUUGAUCUUGGAAUCCCCAGCCUCCAGAAGUGCACUCCAGUGUGGGAUGUGGGUACCCUAGCCAGCAUCUGAACCAUUAGGCCAAGCACCUGCCCCAAAUGGAAUAUCGUAGUCUUCAUAGCAGUAUUUGAUGUUUUGAUACAUUCAAAAUAAAGUUACACUGAGCAAAGGUAUUUAUCAGUCUUACAGAAAACAGCUUCUCCAGUGACAUCUGUGGAACAAAACAGACUCACAAUGGAUGAUGGUGAGGUGAUGUUUGAGACCACAAAAUAAAACCGCCUUGCAAACAUCGCAUAUUUGUUCAAACAGUGGUUGCAAUUUCCAUUAAUCCACCCGGGCAGAGUGGACAGUGAGAGAGAGACAGAGAAAAAGGUCUUCCUUUGCCGUUGGUCCACCCUCCAGUGGCCGCCGCGGCCGGCGCGCUGUGGCUGGCACACCGCCCUGAUCCGAAGCCAGGAGCCAGGUGCUUCUCCUGGUGUCCCAUGGAGUGCAGGGCCCAAGCACUUGGGCCACCCUCCACUGCACUCCCGGGCCACAGCAGAGAGCUGGACUCGAAGAGGGGCAACCGGGACAGAAUCCGGUGUCCCGACCAAGACUAGAACCCAGUGUGCCAGCACCGAAGGCGGAGGAUUAGCCAAGUGAGCCUUGGCACUGGCUGUAAGGGGCUGUGAAGUCCAAAAAUUGUCGCCGGGGGCAUUCUUAAUAAAAAUGCCAGGAAGCUGAGCAGCUUCUGGGCCGAGUGCAUGACUUUAAAGGCAGAAACGACACUCUGAGCUCCACUCUGAAAUCGCCCAGCAGGGCUCCGGCGGCUCUGGGGAGUGCUAUGGGAAUUAGGUGCCUCCCGGCUCCACGCCCAGAGCCCAGCUACACCCAGCAGGCUACAUGAUAUCACCGCCACACACAUCAAAGGCUUGCUCUCCAGCUUCAAAAGGAAAAGGAAAAGGAACAGGAUACUUUGUGUUGGGAGUCCUGCUCUGAGCGGGAACUGGGCUGCUGCCUGUUCAAGUUGUUCCCUGGGUAUUCUGGCGUCUUGCCCUGCCUGACAGCUGCAGGAGUUCUGUAAGAAAUCGGAGGGAGAAUUUCCUUUGCAGCCAUGACUGAGAACCCAGGAUCAAGAGCUUUGCAGACCGAAAAGACAUUACCCUUCAAAUAUCCCAAGUCGUCCAUUAGGGUCAACGAGCAGCUGGCAAAAAAGCAGGGCAGCUGGCCGUGCAGCCGUGGCCUGGAUGGAGAAAUUGUAUUCCACUGGGAACCAGGCAGCAGAAUUUCUUUUCACUAAGAGAAAACUUACAGAAACAUUUAAAAAUAAGUAUAUGUUAAUACUGGCAUAUUCCAAAUGGCCAGAAGCAUACAGAACAAUACCGUGGUCCCAGAUCAGUGAAUGUUAACUUUGUGCCACAUUCAUUUCACCUCUUUUUCUACCAAAUUGACAUCUGUGUUUGAAUUGUCACCUCCUUACCCCGGCCCCACUCCCCAGGCCUGUGGGGCUGGCCUGGAUCUUCUCGGGUAUCCACAACAAAGGGUGUAUAUUCUUGCUGCAUUUGGAUGCGCCCAAAAGCAACAAUAUUCUUCUCUCUGCUUUUGGAAUUUAAAUAAGUGGUACCAUUCUGUACUCCCCUUCUGCUACAUGUUUUCAUUCCUCUCAACACAUUUCAUAAUCAUCCAUGCUAAUAUAUGUCAAUCUAGCACAUUCAUUUUAACUUCAGAAAGGUAUUUCAUGAUGUGACUGCAUCAGAGGCCAUUUGUCCAUUCCCUGGUUGGUAGAUAUUAUGUAGUUCAAUUUUGGGGGAAUCACAAACAUUGCUGAGAUGGAUAGUCUUGUGUUUGUUGGGGCACAUAUGGGAAAUUAUCUCUAUGGCAAUGGUUCUUCAAGUUUUGUUCUUGCAGUCUUUUUAUAUUGUUAAAAAUUAUUAAGAACUCCAAAUAGCAAUGUCGUUGUUUAUGUGGAUUCUGUCUACUGAUAUUUAGGGUGUUUGAAAUCAAAAAAGGAAAUGUAAAGCUAUUAAUUAGUUUAAAAAUAAUAAACCUGUUAUAAUUCAACACAGAAAUGUGUUUUUUUUUUAAUGAAAAAUUAGUAUACUUUACCAAUCCAGAAAACAUUAAUGAGAAGGGGGGAACUCUUGUGCAUUUUUGCAAAUCUCUUUAAUGUCUGGCUUAAUAGAAGUCAGCUGGGUUCUUAUUAUCUGCUUCUGCAUUCAAUCUGUUGCAGUGUGUUGUCCGGCUGAAGUAUGUGAAAAAACACAGGCCUCACACAGACAUGUAGUUGUAAGAGGGCGGAGUAUUCUAAUAACCUCAGAUAAUUUUUUAACAUUCUUCAUCAAAGAUACUAAUCAAAAGUCAAGUGAUAGCCUUUCAUUUUAAAAAUGAUUUAAUUUUUAUUUGAAAAAUUGUCAGAGAGGCAGAGACUGAAGUAGUUGAGCCAUCACCGGCUACCUCUUAGGGUGCCCAUUAGCAAGACACUGGAUGGGAAGCAGAGUAGCUGGGACUGAAACCAGAUACAGUGACGCAGGCAUCCCCAGGUGGCAACUCAGUUGGUGCCAAAUGCCCUCCCUUAGUGAUAGUCUCUUAAAGAUUAGUUACAGAUGGAAUCUGAAAUUAUCAAUGUAAUUCACAUACUCUCACACUAAACCCAUUGGUCUUUCUUGGUCAUUUGGAAAACAUUGAUUCACUGUGCAUUUCACACAGUCGUUGACAGAUUUCAUCCUAUAAUAUGAAAGAAACAUUUAUUUGUAUCACCACCAAUUUAAUUAUAAAACUUUUUAAAAAAUUUAGAAAAAUGUCAAGAUCAUGGUGCUAGAUGCAAGUUUUCCAAAAUUCUAAUAUUUCAAAGCUCAAAAUUUAUCAUUGGCAACAGAUGUGUCAGUUGCUUUCCUUGAAAUGACAGGCUCACUUUGUUCAUUUUUUAGGAAAAUGAAUGCCUACCAAAUUCCCAAGUCUGAAUAACCAUAGUCAGUCUUUCUUCCAAAUAGUUUUUCAUGAAGCGGUGUUUCAUGAACAAAGUGGCUCUUUCAAUUCAUAGCUCAAAACAACGCAGGAAUGUUUUUCCUUGAGAGAACAGACAUCAUGCCGUAGUGUGCAGAAGCGCUUUAUGUGUGUUACCCAUUUCGUUACACAGAAUAUUGAUAUUACAAAGCCAUGUGCUUGGAGCCGGUGUUGUGGAACAGCAGGUUAAGCUAUGCCAGAGUCACCAGCAUCCUGUUUGAGCGCUGAUUCAUUUCCCAGCCGCCCACUUUCUUUCCAGCUCCCUGCUAAUAUACCUGGGAAAGCAGCAGCAGAUGACCGAACUCUUUGGGUCUCUGCCACACACGUGGGAGACCCAGAUGGAAUUCCAGGCCCUUGGCUUUGGCCUGGCCCAGCCUUGGCUAUUGCUGCCAUUUGGGAAGUGAACCACCGGAUGGAAGAUGUCUCUCUCUAUCCCUCUCUGUCUUUCUCUGUCUCUCGCCUCUCUCUCUCUGUAACUCUGCCUUUCAAAAUAAGUAAUAAAUAAAUCUUUAAAAAAAGACAUGUGCUCGGCAGUUGAGAGUUAAUGAAGUUUAAUAAUAUUUUUUACUAUUUAAUCUAUAAUAUUCUUAAGUAAGAUUAAAUAAUAUUACUAUUGUUUUAAUUCAAGUACAUAGCUGUAAAGAAUAUUACAAUAGGAGCCAGUGCUGUGGUGUAGUAGGCUAAGCCUCCACCUGCAGCUCUGGUAUCCUAUAUGGGCACCAGUUUGUGCACCGGCUGCUUCUCUUCUGAUCUAGCUCUCUGCUAUGGCCUGAGAAAGCAGUGGAAGAUGACAGAAGUCCUUGGGCCACUGCACCCAUGUGGGAGACCCAGAGGAAGCUCCUGGCUCCUGAAUUUGGAUCAGCCCAGCUCUAGCCAUUGAAGCCAUUUGGAGAGUGAGCCAGUGAGUAGAAGAUCUUUGUUUCUGUCUGUAACUCUACUUCUCAAAUAAAUAAAUAAAUAAAAUCUUUAAAAAAAUAUUGUGAUGACCAGGACAGUUAAGUACUGCAGCCUUGAUUUGUGCUAAAGUAGCAGCAGUUUUAAUAAUUAUGUUUUUUCAUUGAAUAAACAAAUUGUUCAGAGUAGAAUUGCUAAGGCCCAGGAGAUAUACAUCUAUAAUUUCAUUAGAUGACACUAAAUUUUUCUCCAAAGAGAGUGUGUCCUUUUAGACAUCUACCAGCAGUGGAUGAGAGUUCUUGUUUCUCCAGAACCUGACUAUGGAACUUGUCAUUUAUUUGUUAGAAAGGCGGAGAGAGAAAAGAUCUUCUAUCCACAGGUUCACUUCCCAAAUGGUCACAAUAGCUGAGGCUGAGCCAGGCCAAAGCCAGGAGCCUGAAACUCCCGCAUGGGUGGCAGGACCCAAGUACUUGGCUGUCUUCUGCUACUUUCCUAGGUACCUUAACAGGAAACUGGAUUAGAAGCAGAACAGCCAGCAGUACAAAUGGCAGCUUAACCUGCUGUACUACAACGCCAGCCUCAGAACUUGUCUUUUAACUAAGGUUUUUGAUUCUUGGUGAAGACAUUUAAAAUUUUAAUGUAAUUAAAUUUAUCAAUAUUUCCCUUUUAUGAUUUGUGAUAGUGGGUUAUCUCAUCCAUGAACAUGGUAUAUGUUUCCAUUUAUUAAGUUUUUUAAA